AGAAUCAACGCUGGCGGCGUGCCUAACACAUGCAAGUCGAACGAGAAAGUGGAGCAAUCCAUGAGUAAAGUGGCGACCGGGUGAGUAACACGUGACCAAUCUACCCUUGAGUGGGGGAUAACCUCGGGAAACCGGGGCUAAUACCGCAUAACAUCCUUGGAACGGAAGUACUGGGGAUCAAAGGAGCAAUUCGCUUAAGGAGGAGGUCGCGGCUGAUUAGCUAGUUGGCGGGGUAAUGGCCCACCAAGGCAAAGAUCGGUA
RNAcentral lists this ribosomal RNA (261 nucleotides) under uncultured bacterium. RNAcentral's name for it is "partial small subunit ribosomal RNA". It matches the Rfam family "Bacterial small subunit ribosomal RNA", at positions 26 to 285 of the family's 1533-position model. The record is from RNAcentral.